AGGGCAAGCACAGAGAGUAGGGUGAAGAUGUAAAAGGGAAGAUAGCAGGCACAGUAAAGGUAAAAUAGGAACUUUCACUUCUGGAGAGAGUGUUAAUAUCCUUUCUGAUCAGGACUAUGGCAUCAUAUAUCAAAUACCUGCACCCCCCAACCCCCCCCCCCAAAAAAAGUCUAUACUUCUUUGGUUUUUUUUUUGAGACAGUCUCACUCCAUCGCCCAAGCUGGAGUACCGUGGCGUGAUCUCGGCUCACCGCAACCUCUGCCUCCAGGGUUCAAGUAGAGAUGGGGGCCGGGCGCGGUGGCUCAUGCCUGUAAUCCCAGCACUUUGGGAGGCCGAGGCGGGCAGAUCACGAGGUCAUGAGAUCGAGACCAUCCUGGCUAACACUGUGAAACCCCGUCUCUACUAAAAAUACUACUAAAAAUACAAAAAAAUUAGCCAGGUGUGGUGGCGGGUGCCUGUAGUCCCAGCUACUCAAGAGGCUGAGGCAGGAGAAUGGCGUGAACCUGGGAGGCAGAGCUUGCAGUGAGCCGAGAUCGCGACACUGCACUCCAGCCUGGGCAACAGAGUGAGACUCCCUCUCAAUAAAUAAAUAAAUAAAUAAAUAAAUAAAUAAAUAAAAUAGAGAUGGGGUGUCACUACAUUGACCAGGCUGGCUUUGAACUUCUGGCCUCAAGCAAUCCUCCCACCUUGUCCUCCCAAAGUACUAGGAUUACAGGUAUGAGCCACCACACCAUGCUGACUUUACUUCUUGAUGGGAUAAAUAUCAACACAUAGUAACAACAGCCUGUGGGAUGGGAGAUACUGUUGGAGCCAUCUUCGGAAAAUGCAGUCUGCCAAAAUAUAUCUCCCAAAAAGAAACACUGCAACCUCUAUGAGAAACCUGUUGCUAAAAGUAAAGAGGUAUACCCCAGAUAGGCAUGAAGCCUAUUGCAAGUUUCGUUAUGUCACACACCGAAAGCUCUAGAAAAUAUGUACUUCGCACUUUGCAUAGCCCACUCUAAAGGAACGUAUCACAUUAUCUUAUAUUUAGUUGUCCAUGUGCCUGCCUCCCCACCAGAACACCUGUUUCUUUUU
Molecule: long non-coding RNA, 1074 nt
Filed under: Homo sapiens (human)
Lineage: Eukaryota; Metazoa; Chordata; Mammalia; Primates; Hominidae
Description: non-protein coding lnc-SOX2-6:1
Source: RNAcentral